CGUAGUCGAUGGGAAACAGGUUAAUAUUCCUGUACUUGGUGUUACUGCGAAGGGGGGACGGAGAAGGCUAUGUUGGCCGGGCGACGGUUGUCCCGGUUUAAGCGUGUAGGCUGGUUUUCCAGGCAAAUCCGGAAAAUCAAGGCUGAGGCGUGAUGACGAGGCACUACGGUGCUGAAGCAACAAAUGCCCUGCUUCCAGGAAAAGCCUCUAAGCAUCAGGUAACAUCAAAUCGUACCCCAAACCGACACAGGUGGUCAGGUAGAGAAUACCAAGGCGCUUGAGAGAACUCGGGUGAAGGAACUAGGCAAAAUGGUGCCGUAACUUCGGGAGAAGGCACGCUGAUAUGUAGGUGAAGCGACUUGCUCGUGGAGCUGAAAUCAGUCGAAGAUACCAGCUGGCUGCAACUGUUUAUUAAAAACACAGCACUGUGCAAACACGAAAGUGGACGUAUACGGUGUGACGCCUGCCCGGUGCCGGAAGGUUAAUUGAUGGGGUCAGCGCAAGCGAAGCUCUUGAUCGAAGCCCCGGUAAACGGCGGCCGUAACUAUAACGGUCCUAAGGUAGCGAAAUUCCUUGUCGGGUAAGUUCCGACCUGCACGAAUGGCGUAAUGAUGGCCAGGCUGUCUCCACCCGAGACUCAGUGAAAUUGAACUCGCUGUGAAGAUGCAGUGUACCCGCGGCAAGACGGAAAGACCCCGUGAACCUUUACUAUAGCUUGACACUGAACAUUGAGCCUUGAUGUGUAGGAUAGGUGGGAGGCUUAGAAGUGUGGACGCCAGUCUGCAUGGAGCCGACCUUGAAAUACCACCCUUUAAUGUUUGAUGUUCUAACGUUGACCCGUAAUCCGGGUUGCGGACAGUGUCUGGUGGGUAGUUUGACUGGGGCGGUCUCCUCCUAAAGAGUAACGGAGGAGCACGAAGGUUGGCUAAUCCUGGUCGGACAUCAGGAGGUUAGUGCAAUGGCAUAAGCCAGCUUGACUGCGAGCGUGACGGCGCGAGCAGGUGCGAAAGCAGGUCAUAGUGAUCCGGUGGUUCUGAAUGGAAGGGCCAUCGCUCAACGGAUAAAAGGUACUCCGGGGAUAACAGGCUGAUACCGCCCAAGAGUUCAUAUCGACGGCGGUGUUUGGCACCUCGAUGUCGGCUCAUCACAUCCUGGGGCUGAAGUAGGUCCCAAGGGUAUGGCUGUUCGCCAUUUAAAGUGGUACGCGAGCUGGGUUUAGAACGUCGUGAGACAGUUCGGUCCCUAUCUGCCGUGGGCGCUGGAGAACUGAGGGGGGCUGCUCCUAGUACGAGAGGACCGGAGUGGACGCAUCACUGGUGUUCGGGUUGUCAUGCCAAUGGCACUGCCCGGUAGCUAAAUGCGGAAGAGAUAAGUGCUGAAAGCAUCUAAGCACGAAACUUGCCCCGAGAUGAGUUCUCCCUGACCCUUUAAGGGUCCUGAAGGAACGUUGAAGACGACGACGUUGAUAGGCCGGGUGUGUAAGCGCAGCGAUGCGUUGAGCUAACCGGUACUAAUGAACCGUGAGGCUUAACCUUACAACGCCGAAGCUGUU
This 1552-nucleotide ribosomal RNA is filed under the name Escherichia coli. Its description in RNAcentral is "partial 23S ribosomal RNA". It matches the Rfam family "Bacterial large subunit ribosomal RNA", at positions 1410 to 2925 of the family's 2925-position model. The record is from RNAcentral. Lineage: Bacteria; Pseudomonadati; Pseudomonadota; Gammaproteobacteria; Enterobacterales; Enterobacteriaceae.